UACGUAGGGUGCAAGCGUUAAUCGGAAUACUGGGCGUAAAGCGUGCGCAGGCGGUUUUGUAAGUCUGUCGUGAAAUCCCCGGGCUCAACCUGGGAAUGGCGAUGGAGACUGCAAGGCUAGAGUUUGGCAGAGGGGGGUAGAAUUCCACGUGUAGCAGUGAAAUGCGUAGAUAUGUGGAGGAACACCGAUGGCGAAGGCAGCCCCCUGGGUCAAAACUGACGCUCAUGCACGAAGCGUGGGAGCAACAGG
Molecule: ribosomal RNA, 249 nt
Filed under: uncultured bacterium
Lineage: Bacteria
Description: partial 16S ribosomal RNA
Rfam family: Bacterial small subunit ribosomal RNA
Source: RNAcentral